RNAcentral lists this ribosomal RNA (245 nucleotides) under uncultured bacterium. Its description in RNAcentral is "partial 16S ribosomal RNA". It matches the Rfam family "Bacterial small subunit ribosomal RNA", at positions 110 to 353 of the family's 1533-position model. The record is from RNAcentral.
GUAACGCGUAUGUAACCUAACCUAUAACAGGGCAUAACACUGAGAAAUUGGUACUAAUUCCCCAUAAUAUUCGGAGAGGCAUCUCUCCGGGUUGAAAACUCCGGUGGUUAUAGAUGGACAUGCGUUGUAUUAGCUAGUUGGUGAGGUAACGGCUCACCAAGGCAACGAUACAUAGGGGGACUGAGAGGUUAACCCCCCCACACUGGUACUGAGACACGGACCAGACUCCUACGGGAGGCAGCAUG